Egretta garzetta (little egret) is the source of this 667-nucleotide long non-coding RNA. RefSeq lists it as uncharacterized. Lineage: Eukaryota; Metazoa; Chordata; Aves; Pelecaniformes; Ardeidae. The transcript has 3 exons. The record is from RefSeq and is a predicted model, not a curated record.
AGGCUACUGGUUUUUAAGAGUCCUGCAGCACAGCAACGGUGAAGAUCAGAAUCCCGUUAUGAUCCUGCACAUCAUGCCGUGCCCAGCCAGACCUUAGGUGACCAGCUGGUUACGGGGAGGCGUGAGGCUUAUCAGACGGCUGAAGCAUCGCAGGCGGUAAGGAGGGAGAGGCCCUUGACAGAUGAUACAUCCACGAACUCCUCACUCCUCGGCGGAGCUCUGGCUGCGUCACUGCUAAAUACAUUAAUUGCAUCGGACAAAUAUAGAUCAAGGCAAUUUUUUCAUCGAAUCAGCUUCCAGAAAGGGUGCAAGCCUUGUAAAAAUAAACAGUCACCCUAGAUAACAUUGCUGUUCAGAUGAAGCGAGAUGGGCAGGUCAACCGCAGCAGCGUCGUUGAGGUCCUGGUCUUUGGUGCCUUCCCAGAGCACUUCAUCUAACUCACUGAUGGUGGAAAACCAGAAGCAGCUGAGCAAGGAGCCCUUCUGAAAUACGUACAAUACAGUUGGACCAUCCUAGAAGUUUCUGUGUGGUCAUCACAACCCUAAGCACUAUUCCAUACGGCAAACUAGAGGUCACAAACCAAUUUGCAACCUGUUACCAUCUACGAAUCCUUCGCAGAGCAUCUUGUUACAUAGAGAACCUCAGCGACUGCGACCCACGAUGGACU